This 73-nucleotide transfer RNA is filed under the name Candidatus Sungiibacteriota bacterium. RNAcentral describes it as "tRNA-Thr". It matches the Rfam family "tRNA". Rfam says of the family: Transfer RNA (tRNA) molecules are approximately 80 nucleotides in length. The record is from RNAcentral. Lineage: Bacteria; Candidatus Sungiibacteriota.
GCCAAUGUAGCUCAAUUGGUAGAGCAACCGCUUCGUAAGCGGUAGGUUGUCGGUUCGACCCCGACCAUUGGCU